This 698-nucleotide small RNA is filed under the name Arabidopsis thaliana (thale cress). RNAcentral's name for it is "ATSL185860". Lineage: Eukaryota; Viridiplantae; Streptophyta; Magnoliopsida; Brassicales; Brassicaceae. The record is from RNAcentral.
UGUAUUACAUAUAUAUUUGAUGGGAAAAAGGUUGAAUUGCGUUUUUGGCGGGAAAAUGUUAAAUUGCGUUUUUGGCGGGAAACAUGUCAAAUCCUUUUCUUGGCCGGAAAUGUUGAAUGUCGUUUUUGGCGGGAAAAUGUUAAAUUGCGUUUUUUGCGAGAAAAUGUGAAAUCAUUUUUGGCGGAAAAUGUUGAAUCGAGUUUUUGGCGGGAAAUUGUUGAAUUGCGUUUUGGCGGGAAAAUGUUGAAUGUCGUUUUUGGCGCGAAAAUGUUGAAUUUCGUUGUGGCGGGAAAAUGUUGAUUGUCGUUUUUGGCGGAAAAAUGUUGAAUGUCUUUUUUGGCGGUAAACUGUUAAAUCGCGGUUUAGGGGAAAAAAUGUGAAAUCUUUUUUGACAAGAAAAUGUUGAUUCACUUGAAAAAGUACUUAAAAAAACUCGUGGGUACCCAUAACCCAAUGAAGUAAACCCAUAUGAGUUUUAUUUAUUUGGGUACCCAGCCCAAUUUAAACCUGUGUUUUUUUUCCAGAAAAAGUAGAUCUAUGAGCUUAAAAUUUUAUGUGGGUUUUGAGUACCCAGUGAGUUUUAACCCAUCAUUAACAUCUCUACGUCCAAGUUAUAAACUUUUAUGGUAUCUCAAGUCCUUUUGAAUCUCUCAUAAACCCUUUUUGCCAAUUGGUAACACAUGUGAUGUGUAUUGGCU